Non-coding RNA from Vicia faba (fava bean), 252 nucleotides. The record is from the annotation of a GenBank genome assembly. NCBI's taxonomy places the organism in Eukaryota, Viridiplantae, Streptophyta, Magnoliopsida, Fabales, Fabaceae.
AUGAAAUCCUUAAUCAUUGUUAUGAUCUUUGCUAUAACAUUGAUCCUUUCACUUGAGGUUAAUGUUGCCAAAGCUAGAACUUACCCAUCUACAUCCCAAGUUUCAAAAAUGCUUUCAUCAUUCCAACCACAUAAAGAAGGGUCAUCAAAAUCAAGUCAAGAUCAGCAUGAGGUGGCUGCUAGCCUUAAAUUCAUACCACCUAGCAGACCAAAUCCAACACAGAACAAGUUAAAUCCUAAGAUAAAGGAUUAA